CACCAUAUCCGCCUCUCAAUGACAUUUUAAAAUAAGAGGCAAAUCCCUGUUUCAGAACAGCCAGAGUAUCUGCUACAAGCACAAGAACCUAUAUCGAUGGGAAUUGAGAUUCAUCUCAAGCAAAUCCUGAGCCAGAUUGAAUAUGCUGGAAAGACAGAUACAUAUGCUCUACUCAAACGAAAAAUCAAGAUCAAAACAUUUCACCCAUGACCCUUUUGAGCAUCCUGACGAUUAAAAUGACUUCCCCGUGUUUUAUGGGCCAGCAAGGUCUCCAGCUCUUUCUUACAGAGGAAGAACUGUCUCAGAGAUGGUCUUCAUGCUCUCCUAUGUAUCGAUUUGUUUUGCCCUGAUGUGCUUGUAGGAGAGAACUCUAAUGUUUUCAGUAGAGCAGCUUUCAUUUUUAUGUACUCUCUUCUGUUGUAAAUGUGCAACAGUAACAAGGGUGAGUGCUAGAAGGCUUUGCUGCAAAGCACAUUCCUGGUUUAUUGCUGUAGAAUGAAGUGUUUUGAGACUAAAAUGCUUGUACAGUUCUGACCUUCAGCACAGAAGAGGAGAUUUUCCAUCAGCCGCUGUGUGGUACCACGGGAGCAGAGCUCUGGGAAACCACACCAGUCCCAGUAAACAGCAUGGAAGCCUUCUGUAUAAACACACGUGUGUCUCUUCUUCUCUCUUUUCUCAUCUAUAAAAUUAUUAAAAUACAUUAUAUCUCCGGUAAAAUAUCACAUUUACUCGAAGCUACAGAAUUUUCAUAAUCCUGAAGGUAAUCACAAAACCUACCAUGUAUCUGACUAUUUAUAAAAAAAAAAAAACAAGCUAAAAUUAUUAGAUUUUGUGUUGCUAAACCCACACUACUUUUUAAUUUUAUUUUAUUUUGUGUGUGUGCCUGUGCAUUUCAUUUGGUGGUACAAAGGGAUUAGAACUCUCCAAGGGCUUUUAAUAUCUUCUCUUAAGUUUUCAUCUGGGCUUUCCAGCUCAAAUACUGCAAAGUGUUAUUCCAGCUCAUUAUU
Molecule: long non-coding RNA, 1007 nt
Organism: Calypte anna (Anna's hummingbird)
Lineage: Eukaryota; Metazoa; Chordata; Aves; Apodiformes; Trochilidae
Exons: 2
Source: RefSeq, a predicted model, not a curated record